GAUGAACGCUGGCGGCGUGCCUAACACAUGCAAGUCGAGCGGCAGCGAGGGGUGCUUGCACCCUGUCGGCGAGCGGCGGACGGCUGAGUAACGCGUGGGAACGUGCCCCAAAGUGAGGGAUAACUGCCCGAAAGGGUAGCUAAUACCGCAUAUUAUCUUCGGAUCAAAGGAUUUAUCCGCUUUGGGAGCGGCUCGCGUCGGAUUAGGUAGUUGGUGAGGUAAUGGCUCACCAAGCCGACGAUCCGUAGCUGGUCUGAGAGGAUGACCAGCCAGACUGGAACUGAGACACGGUCCAGACUCCUACGGGAGGCAGCAGUGAGGAAUCUUCCACAAUGGGCGAAAGCCUGAUGGAGCAACGCCGCGUGCAGGACGAAGGCCUUCGGGUUGUAAACUGCUUUUAUAAGUGAGGAAUAUGACGGUAACUGAUGAAUAAGGAUCGGCUAACUACGUG
This 451-nucleotide ribosomal RNA is filed under the name uncultured bacterium. Its description in RNAcentral is "partial 16S ribosomal RNA". It matches the Rfam family "Bacterial small subunit ribosomal RNA", at positions 28 to 507 of the family's 1533-position model. The record is from RNAcentral.